UAUCGGAUUGAUACUAAGCCAUGCGAGUCAUUGCAGUUAUGCAAGGCAGGCGGCUCAGUAACGCGUAGUCAACCUACCCUAUGGACGGGAAUAACCUCGGGAAACUGAGUAUAAUGCCCGAUAGAACACUAUACCUGGAAUGGUUUGUGUUCCAAAUGAAUGUCGCCGUAGGAUGGGACUGCGGCCUAUCAGUUUGUUGGUGAGGUAAUGGCCCACCAAGACUAUUACAGGUACGGGCUCUGAGAGGAGUAGCCCGGAGAUGGGUACUGAGACACGGACCCAGGCCCUAUGGGGCGCAGCAGGCGAGAAAACUUUGCAAUGUGCGAAAGCACGACAAGGUUAAUCCGAGUGGUUUGUGCUAAACGAACCUUUUGACAGUCCUAGAAACACUGUUGAAUAAGGGGUGGGCAAGUUCUGGUGUCAGCCGCCGCGGUAAAACCAGCACCUCAAGUGGUCAGGAUGAUUAUUGGGCCUAAAGCAUCCGUAGCCGGCUCUGUAAGUUUUCGGUUAAAUCUGUACGCUCAACGUACAGGCUGCCGGGAAUACUGCAGAGCUAGGGAGUGGGAGAGGUAGACGGUACUCGGUAGGAAGGGGUAAAAUCCUUUGAUCUAUUGAUGACCACCUGUGGCGAAGGCGGUCUACCAGAACACGUCCGACGGUGAGGGAUGAAAGCUGGGGGAGCAAACCGGAUUAGAUACCCGGGUAGUCCCAGCUGUAAACUAUGCAAACUCAGUGAUGCAUUGGCUUGUGGCCGAUGCAGUGCUGCAGGGAAGCCGUUAAGUUUGCCGCCUGGGAAGUACGUACGCAAGUAUGAAACUUAAAGGAAUUGGCGGGGGAGCACCACAAGGGGUGAAGCCUGCGGUUCAAUUGGAGUC
This 875-nucleotide ribosomal RNA is filed under the name uncultured archaeon. RNAcentral describes it as "bacterial SSU rRNA". It matches the Rfam family "Archaeal small subunit ribosomal RNA", at positions 31 to 913 of the family's 1478-position model. The record is from RNAcentral.